GACGAACGCUGGCGGCGUGCUUAACACAUGCAAGUCGAACGGAAAGGCCUCUUUCGGGGGGUACUCGAGUGGCGAACGGGUGAGUAACACGUGAGUAACCUGCCCUUGACUUUGGGAUAACUUCAGGAAACUGGGGCUAAUACCGGAUAGGAGCUCCUGCUGCAUGGUGGGGGUUGGAAAGUUUCGGCGGUUGGGGAUGGACUCGCGGCUUAUCAGCUUGUUGGUGGGGUAGUGGCUUACCAAGGCUUUGACGGGUAGCCGGCCUGAGGGGGUGACCGGCCACAUUGGGACUGAGAUACGGCCCAGACUCCUACGGGAGGCAGCAGUGGGGAAUAUUGCACAAUGGGUGGAAGCCUGAUGCAGCAACGCCGUGUGCGGGAUGACGGCCUUCGGGUUGUAAACCGCUUUCGCUCAUGACGAAGCUUUGUGUGACGGUAGUGGGUAAAGAAGCACCGGCUAACUACGUG
RNAcentral lists this ribosomal RNA (467 nucleotides) under uncultured bacterium. RNAcentral's name for it is "partial 16S ribosomal RNA". It matches the Rfam family "Bacterial small subunit ribosomal RNA", at positions 28 to 507 of the family's 1533-position model. The record is from RNAcentral.